Molecule: ribosomal RNA, 253 nt
Filed under: uncultured bacterium
Lineage: Bacteria
Description: partial 16S ribosomal RNA
Rfam family: Bacterial small subunit ribosomal RNA
Source: RNAcentral
UACGGGGGGGGCAAGCGUUGUUCGGGAUUACUGGGCGUAAAGGGCUCGUAGGCGGCCAACUAAGUCGGACGUGAAAUCCCCAGGCUCAACCUGGGAACUGCGUCCGAUACUGGAUGGCUUGAAUCCGGGAGAGGGAUGCAGAAUUCCAGGUGUAGCGGUGAAAUGCGUAGAUAUCUGGAGGAAUACCGGUGGCGAAGGCGGCAUCCUGGACCGGCAUUGACGCUGAGGAGCGAAAGCCAGGGGAGCAAACGGG